This is a non-coding RNA of Oryctolagus cuniculus (rabbit), 6497 nucleotides long. The record is from RefSeq and is a predicted model, not a curated record. NCBI's taxonomy places the organism in Eukaryota, Metazoa, Chordata, Mammalia, Lagomorpha, Leporidae.
AUCCAUGAGUCGUACUUUGGAAAUUUAUAUUCAUUAAAUAAAAGAUAAAAAAAAAAAGAAUCCCAGGGGAGUAAAACCAAAAAAAAAAAAAAAAUAAAGCUGCUAGAGACAUCUGUGUGCAGCCUUUUUUGUGGACAUAAGUUUUUAAUUCCUUUGGGUAAAUACUAAGGAGCCCAGUUACUGGGUUGUAUGGUGAGAGUGUGUUUAGUUUGGUACAAUCUACCACAUUGUCUUCCAAAGUGGCCGUAUCAUUUUGCAUUCCCGACAUCAGUAAGUGAAUGAUCAUAUUGCUCCACAUCCUGUUAGCAUUUGGUGUUGUCAGUGUUUUGAAUUGUUACCAUUCUAAGAGGUAUGCAGUGGCAAUACAUUUUUUUAAAGGACAAAAAUCCUUUUCUAGUUGACAAUGAGUAUGUGCAUAUGGACCCAAGUAUCUUCUCCCUUCUCUCUCUCUUUUUUUUUUUUUUUUUUUUUACAAGCAGAAUGGACAGUGAGAGAGAGAGAGAGAUAGGGAGAAAGGUCUUUUUCCGUUGAUUCACCCUCCAAUGGCCGCUGCAGCCAGCGCGUUGCGGCCGGCGCACUGCGCUGAUCUGAUGGCAGGAGCCAGGUGCUUCUCCUGGUCUCCCAUGCGGGUGCAGGGCCCAAGCACUUGGGCCAUCCUCCACUGCACUCCCGGGCCACAGCAGAGAGCUGGACUGGAAGAGGAGCAACCGGGACAGAAUCCGGUGCCCUGACUGGGACUAGAACCCGGUGUGCCGGCACCGCAGGUGGAGGAUUAGCCUAGUGAGCUGCGGCGCCGGCCAUCCCUUCUCUAUUGUUGAAGACUGAGAGCCGCAGUUGCUCCCUUGGACUCUGUUUCAGCAUCAUGGUGAAAUAUUAGUAAAUGUUUGCUGGCUGCAUGGCUUUCGAUGACUUGACCACCCCUGCUUUUGAUAUCCAUGAGGGAUCUAUUUGGACAGAGUCAGAGCAGCCCAUGGGCAUACGCAUGCACAUAUACAUGCAUAUAAGUGCCACGGGUACUCUUCUGCUUCAGCUUAAGAUAGUAUUUAUUCAGUCCCUUGGAGGUAAACUUACUGCCUACUUUUUGUGUAGCCUCAGUACUCUGUACUUAUCCUGCACAAUGUGCCUGUCACAGAGUAGGUGAUAAUCGACGUUUGUUGAAUGACCAACCUACCUUUGGGUCAAGGUAGAGAUAAGAUAAGCUUGAAAAGAACCACCUAACAUUCUUGUGUUUAUUGUUUGAAGCCACCAUUACAGCUAUUUUGUAGUAGCAGAAAUCAAUCCAGGUUUUCCCUCAUGAGCCCAAACCCAUGACCAAGUGUGGACCUGAUAUUUGCCAACCCCCAACCCUCUGCAUAUUGUCAAAAACACAGCACACAUUGUAGCAAUCAUAUUGCCAAAGCUUUAUGGCAUCCAUAAAUUGAAAACUCCUGCCUCUGACAGCUAUGGGCCUGUGUCAACACCAGAUCACAUUGACUCUUCUGGAAUGUGUUUGCAAACACACUAUCCCUGCCUUGGAAGCUGUUGACAACAGAGGCUGUAAGUUCAUUAGAUGUGCCCUAGGGCAUUGUGGUGCUUGUCAUUUAUGGUAGGAGAAUUAUUAUUAUCUUUUAAAAUUCUUUUCGUUGAUUCUGUCCCAGGGCAGGAAGUAUCUUGGCUGCUAUCUUUGAUAGACAAGAAAGCCUGUUUAGAGAGGGAGUCCAAGUUGCUGGGAGAGACCGACAGAACCCAUUUGCUGGUUCACUCACCAGAUUCCUCAACGGGUAGGACUGGAUUUGGACUGAAGCUGGGAGCUGAGAACUCAAACUAGGUCUCCUAUGUGGGCGACGCAGACCUAACUACUUGAGCCAUCGCCUGCUGCCUCCCACGGUCUGCACUGAUAAAAAGCAGGAGUCAGAAGCCAGAGCCAGGACUUGAACCCAGCUUUCCAGGUGAGGAAACAGACGACCGGCAAGUUCAAAACAGUUUUACCAUAAGUUUGUCGGCAAGGUUCUCCGGAGGAAAUUUCCACCUCUGUAUUCAGACGUGAAGUUGAAUGCCCUUGACAAAUGUGCACUGGAUCCAUAGCGGCUCCUUCUACUCCGUGAGGAGCAGGUUGUUGCCCUCUCCCUCACGUGUUCUACCUGUGUUCUACGUCUGUGUUCUACCUGUCUGCACCUAAACCAAGGUUUUCUACACUCCAGUCAUUCGAGUAUCACCAAUGCGCUUCUUGACAUAACCAGGUACCCUGUGUAGUUUUAUGCAGUAAUUUUCGUUCAAUAAGUCCACUUUGUAUUUAAGUCUCAAAGUAGUCAAUAGACUCCAUGAAAUUUCAGGUUUGGUAUGUUAGGUGUACAUACGUGUGUGUGUGUGUGUGUGUGUGUGUCCAAACGCAAUUCAACACCUGGCACUUGGCUGUUAGGAAGCGUUCAUCUGUGGGCCAACUAAAUUCCUCUCGGCUAACGAUCUCAGGCAGGUAGCACACUUCAGAAAACAUGAAGGUCACGCACCUCAAGUUUAAGUCCUGGGAAUGCAGUCAUCAUAAUUCCAUCGUUGUUUGAAAGACAAGCUGCUUGCUGCACUUCUUCCCCUUGUCUUCCCCUUUCGCCUUCUCCCCCUUCUUGAGGUCUCCUCUCAUCCCCUUUCCAUUCUUUCACAGCCAUGUGGCUUCGUGGUCAUAAUUCCUUUCCCCAGUGUGGUGAGGGAAGCUUUCCCCUUGGCUUGCCCGCUGGGGUCCUUGCCUCAUUUGAGACGGAACUCCUGGAAACCACAUUAAAACAAAGUGGCAUGUGACAGAACGAAUAAAAAGACCUUUGUAUUCUUGUCUUUUUCUAGAAAUUGGGGCUUGAGGAAUAUUGAGAAGCAAUGUUAUUUCUAUUUCAUCCUCAUAGUCAGCCUUUUUGAGGAAAUGGCACAUAAACACAGAAGGUCCAAUUUCUGAAAGUGUGUUGAAUAAAUUAUUCCUCAAGGAGUAUAAUGGAGGCUCUGUUUUUGUUCAGGCGCUGUGGACAUGGCAAAAUCUGCAGGGGAGAAUGGAGAUGAGAAAAAGACCAGUCUGCAUGGAAUCUUUUCCCUUAUUAAACAUUCCUGUGGAACUCACUCAAGCUUAGUUUCUUCAGCAAUCAUGGUGACCACUGUGCAUUUACUGGUGGAUCACCACACUCAGUUCCCAGUUAGUUAUAACUCAACACCAAGUGGAUUAUCUAUAGUGAAGCUGCUCUGAAAAAGAGGAGUUUGGGAAUCUUUUGUCAUUAUAAUGUUUUCUUUGCUUUAACUUCUCAUCCCUGUUGACCCUGAAUGAGAAAGGAAUAGAGAGCCUUUGAUACCACACGUUUAGCAACUUUAAACCUAAAGAGCUCAGGAAGCUUUGCUUGAAAUGCAAUCUAGUUCUAAGAAGUGCAACACGUGGAGUCAUACGCAAAGCUCUUCUCCCAAAGGAGUUUCAGUGACUCAGUUUUCAUUUUGCUAGCAUUUGCAUAAUAGCUUCAGAAUCAUAUGGAAAAGUUUUACAGAAUUGCUUAUAAGAAGCCAAACACGAACGAAAACUAAAGCUGCAGCAAUGGAGUAAUUCUCCAUGCCUUCUUACUCAGGAGAAAAUUAAGCAGAGUCAGUCCUAAAAGCAGUUCAUCCUAAAAAGACCAAUAUAGGAUCGGACCCAUGGGGAGGAAUGGGUGCUCUGUGUUUACCGUGACUCCCUAAAGACGUUCUUUCCGAUGGGAAGCAGAUGGAAACCCCAUGCAGAGGCAGAUGCCCGCUGUGACUGUCACAGGGCUGCACCGUGCCUUGGAAAUGACAUCAGUCAAGAUAUCUGUGACUGGAGUCUCACAUUUCACAGACAGAUUUUGCUUUAUUUUAUUUUUUUUUUUUGUAGGACCGAAGAUGGCAAGAGGAGCCAGUAAAUUCUGUCUCAGGUCCUCAGCUAGUGGGAGUUUAAAGUGAUUCUAUGAGUAAAUCAACUGUCCCAACCCCCUAAUGUAAUACGGACCAUCCCGUUUGAAUUUGAAUUUCUUGUGUCCCUGUUUUAGAAAACUGAUGUACGCCAACACCCAGAAUGAGCUGGGCCUAGCAAGUGGAGUGCAGUGCUGAUGGGGAUUAUCAGGAAGAACUAAAGUAUUUAUUUUUUAUGAAGCUUCUCCUAUAACCAGGUUUAUAACUGGAAAGGGCCAAAGCUGAAAUUGUGCAGCCACAUAGAUUAGCAUUUCUCACUGGAGAGGAGAUUAGCUCACCACACUUUAACACUUAGGUUUACUAUACAUGAAUAAAUGUUGCUGCUGUUCUCAUUUUCACUUUCUUCCUUCUGCUGUUAUUGAGAUUCUACUGAAACAACCUUAUAUGAAUGCGAAGGAAAUUCUGAAAUUGAGGAAUCUGUUUUCCUUAAGAAUUGGUGUUUAUCUUGUGCCUCUGCCAAGAAACAGUGAGCAAGCUUUAGGCUUAAGGCUAGUUCAGGGCCAUUUAAUUCUCUAUUUAAUUCUACGUAAGUGAAUGCUCUCCCAAGAAAAUGAAGGCGUAUCCAAAUGAAUCUCUUGCAAGGCUGUUGUCUCAUGAAUCGCUGUGGUAAUUCCAAAAGACUGGAUGACUGGUUAAUACUAAUUAAGUCACAGUUUCCAGUAAUGUCUUUACAAAGGUCAAUUAAUUUUGUCCUACUUACCUGAACCUCAGGAGUGAUGCUUGGGUCUCAAGGAAGACUGGAUACCAAGAUGUUAGGGAAUAUGCAGGAAGAUUCAUCCCCUCCUGGAUAACACUCAGAAUGUUUGGCCUGUGCACAAGUAUGCUGCUUUAGAAAAAAAAUAAUAAGACUAUUCAAUGACACUUGUUAAGGAUUUCAAGGCAUCAUUUAAUUAAGGGAUUGGGGGUGUGGGUAAAACUAUCUUCAUAUGUAGAAUGACCACGGCAAUGAGAAUUUUCAGUAGGGGAGAGAGACUAGGCUGAACUCCAAAUAUAGCAUGGACAAGUGGGAACUUACAACCAAGGAAUAGGAUGUAGGCCAGUGGAUAGAAAAUUACUAAGAGGAAAAGUAGGGGUAAGGGGAAUUAUGGCUAGACAGACUUAUAAGGCAGACAAGGUGAUCAUAACAGCACCUGGGAGACGAUGCAGUCUUGAGAGGCUUGAGAACCUGGGUACAUAGCGAGGGUCACAAGACAGGGAGGAAAUUGCUACACCAACUUGUCUCGAUUCAUGUUCAAACUGGACGCUGCAGAGACAGACAUGAAAGUCUAAAAGUUGAAGCUGAGUUAAAAACUUCAGAGUGGGGCCGGCGCUGGGCGCAGUUGGUUAAUCCUCCGCCUGUGGUGCUGCCAUCCCAUAUGGGCGGCAUUGCAGAAAGCAGCUUAGUCUGCUGUGCCACAGCUCCAACCCCAAGGGGCAUGAAAUUUUUAAAAGCUCCCCGGGUGCUAUUAAUAUGCAGCCAAACAUUUUGAGAGCCAGUAGUUUAGACCAAACAUUUGCCAGUGGGGUCAGAGUAGGAGUUAGGAAUGUAUAUUAGAUGAUAAACCACCACAGCAUUGAGUAUUGUUAUAUUUUCAGUAUAGAUUUUUAAAAAAGAUUUAUUUUUAUUUAUUUGAAAGACAGAGUUACAGAGAGAGGUAGAGACACAGAGAGAGGUCUUCUGUCCGCUGGUUCACUCCCCAGCUGGCUGCAACAGCUGGAGCUGCACCGAUCCAAACACAGGAGCCAGGAGCUUCUUCUGGGUCUUCCACGUGGGUGCAGGGGCCCAAGGACUUGGACCAUCUUCUGCUGCCUUCCCAGGCCAUAGCAGAGAGCUGGAUCGGAAGAGGAGCAGCCGGGACUAGAACCAGUGUCCAUAUGGGAUGCUGGCGCUUCAGGCCAGGGCUUUAACCCGCUAUUCCACAGGGCCGGCCCUUCAGUGUAGAUUUUAAAAAGUCAUAUGUACAUAUAUAAAUGCAUGCAAGGGAUUGGAGUCUGAUUUGGAGGAAUCCUCAUUUAUAGGGAGACCAGGUGAACACGGUCCAUAUUAGGAGAACAUGUUGGGUUCAUCCAAAGCCAACCAAAAUCAUUUGUUAGAAUGGUUGUGAUUAUGCACAUAAAGAGUUACAUUUUCCUUUAGCAAGGCAUAAUUAGCAUAAUUAGUAGUGAUGACAGUGAGAGUUCAGGACAUGCCACUCCAAAAUAUGCUGCUUUCGCAUAUUGAUUAUUUUGAGCUAAAUGCAUUUGAAAAACAGCAGGUGCAAGAAAGGCACUCCGACCUCCCCUUUUCUUCCUGAGAGAAGGCAGGGAGACUCCCACAUAAAAGAUGCCCUCCUUGCACCAGGAGAAAAGAAACAUUUUUGUCACUGGAGAUGGGGUGUUGAGGCUGAGAGAAGUGUGGGGAGCAACUCGGACUAGACUAAGUUACUGGAAUUAAGACUUAUUCUAUGCAUCUGCUCUCCCACAAUAUGGCGCUGAGAAGGGAGAAACAGCUUCUUCACAGCUGCCUCCAGUUCAACCAAUAAACUGUAGGACCUGCUCCUGAUUGGAGGAGAGCAGCGUACUCGGCGUGUGGGCAGCCGAGUUGGGAUUGGCGG